GGUGGCAUAGCCAAGUGGUAAGGCAGGAGCCUGCAAAGCUCCCAUUCCUCAGUUCAAAUCUGAGUGCCACCU
This 72-nucleotide transfer RNA is filed under the name Verrucomicrobiota bacterium. RNAcentral's name for it is "Verrucomicrobia bacterium (activated sludge metagenome) tRNA-Cys". It matches the Rfam family "tRNA". From Rfam's summary of the family: Transfer RNA (tRNA) molecules are approximately 80 nucleotides in length. Their secondary structure includes four short double-helical elements and three loops (D, anti-codon, and T loops). RNAcentral also lists the same sequence under 2 other names. Lineage: Bacteria; Pseudomonadati; Verrucomicrobiota. The record is from RNAcentral.